GCGUCUGUAGCUCAGUUGGUUAGAGCACCACCUUGACAUGAUGGGGGUCGAUGGUUCGAGUCCAUUCAGACGCACCA
This 77-nucleotide transfer RNA is filed under the name Salmonella enterica. RNAcentral's name for it is "tRNA-Val". It matches the Rfam family "tRNA". Rfam says of the family: Transfer RNA (tRNA) molecules are approximately 80 nucleotides in length. RNAcentral also lists the same sequence under 1 other name. Lineage: Bacteria; Pseudomonadati; Pseudomonadota; Gammaproteobacteria; Enterobacterales; Enterobacteriaceae. The record is from RNAcentral.